AUUGAACGCUGGCGGCAGGCCUAACACAUGCAAGUCGAACGAGUGGCGGACGGGUGAGUCAUGUCUGGGAAACUGCCUGAUGGAGGGGGAUAACUACUGGAAACGGUAGCUAAUACCGCAUACCAUCGGAUGAGCCCAGAUGGGAUUAGCUAGUAGGUGGGGUAAAGGCUCACCUAGGCGACGAUCCCUAGCUGGUCUGAGAGGAUGACCCGCCACACUGGAACUGAGACACGGUCCAGACGCCUACGGGAGUCAGCAGUGGGGAAUAUUGCACAAUGGGCGCAAGCCUGGUGCAGCCAUGCCGCGUGUAUGAAGAAGGCCUUCGGGUUGUAAAGUACUUUCAGCGGGGAGGCGUUACCCGCAGAAGAAGCCCCGGCUAACUCCGUGCCAGCAGCCGCGGUAAUAC
Molecule: ribosomal RNA, 406 nt
Filed under: uncultured bacterium
Lineage: Bacteria
Description: partial 16S ribosomal RNA
Rfam family: Bacterial small subunit ribosomal RNA
Source: RNAcentral